CUUGGUUUAGAUAAAGAGGAUACCUAUCUGGACUAUGGAACCUGCCUAGAAAGAACUCUAUCCAGUUACCCUUACAACCCCAGUUGCUGUGAAAGUAGCUGGUGUCAUCCCUUGGAUCCAUCACUCCCAAAGAAAGAAGGCUGCUGAGGAUGAUGACAGAUGAACCAUGACUUGGACUUCAAACUCUUCAAUGGGAGACCCUUAACUCACACCGGAGGCGAACACAUGAGGAGCUUCAAAAUUUGCUGAAGAGACUACAG
This 260-nucleotide long non-coding RNA is filed under the name Cricetulus griseus (Chinese hamster). RNAcentral's name for it is "lncRNA (ENSCGRG00000025385.1)". Lineage: Eukaryota; Metazoa; Chordata; Mammalia; Rodentia; Cricetidae. The record is from RNAcentral.